GACGAACGCUGGCGGCGUGCUUAACACAUGCAAGUCGAACGGAAAGGCCCUGCUUUUGUGGGGUGCUCGAGUGGCGAACGGGUGAGUAACACGUGAGUAACCUGCCCUUGACUUUGGGAUAACUUCAGGAAACUGGGGCUAAUACCGGAUAGGAGCUCCUGCUGCAUGGUGGGGGUUGGAAAGUUUCGGCGGUUGGGGAUGGACUCGCGGCUUAUCAGCUUGUUGGUGGGGUAGUGGCUUACCAAGGCUUUGACGGGUAGCCGGCCUGAGAGGGUGACCGGCCACAUUGGGACUGAGAUACGGCCCAGACUCCUACGGGAGGCAGCAGUGGGGAAUAUUGCACAAUGGGCGGAAGCCUGAUGCAGCAACGCCGCGUGCGGGAUGACUGCCUUCGGGUUGUAAACCUCUUUCGCCUGUGACGAAGCGUGAGUGACGGUAAUGGGUAAAGAAGCACCGGCUAACUACGUG
RNAcentral lists this ribosomal RNA (468 nucleotides) under uncultured bacterium. Its description in RNAcentral is "partial 16S ribosomal RNA". It matches the Rfam family "Bacterial small subunit ribosomal RNA", at positions 28 to 507 of the family's 1533-position model. The record is from RNAcentral.